CGAUGCUACUAGAGAAUCCACAGACCACACACCUGAACACACACACAAAAAAGCUGCCUUUGAUGGCCACCAAGGCCCCGAGCUGCUCCACCCGCUUCAGAUCUCCGGCCAGCGCCGUUUGGUUCCUGCCGGCCGCCGUCUUCAUCCUCCUGCUCCUCCUUCUGCGCCGCCCGACCAUGGACCCCUAUGCUCCCGCUUCUCCUCGUGGUCCCGUGUCUUCCCGGCGCGCCGAUCUGUACGGCAGGAUGGCUCGGGACCUUGAUGAGCGCGGCGCGGCGUUCUUGAAGGGCGGCGAGACGUCGCAGUCCCUCACGCUCUCGGACCUCUUCGACGUCAGGGACGGCGCCGUCGUGCCCAAGCUCAAGGCCGCCGACCCGCCGGUGCGUGCAAACGUGCUCUACCUGGAGCCGGUGUUCGCCGCCGAGAUAGCGAAGGCUGUGAAGGAAGUAUUUCUUCCUUAUUUUGAUAAAGGUAAGGUUUAUGUUCAGUGCAUUUAAUAGUUACUCUCUCCUUCGGUAUUAAUUUCUGGUAUGGAUAAAAUAGAUAUUACCGCAUCUUUUAUAUUGCUUGGUCAAUCUAUACUAUACUUCAUUAAUUUGUAUCAUAAAGCUGCACACUUGUGUAAGUACUGCUUGAUGUUGAUUUGCUUUGCUCGGUCAUUUCUUAUUGCCAGCUAUCUGGUUCCAAAAUUUGAGCAUGUAUCACUUCAGUAUGUUUCAUGCCUCCCAUCAUCUGGAGCCAAUCUUAGCAACCAAGGAUGAGGUAAUUAAAUCAUCUAAUUUGUAUUUAUGUGAGCAUGGGAUUACAGCUUUUUAGGUGAUGUAUCUAUGCGUGGUAUUGUUGAGAUUGAAGCCGAAGUCGAUGCUGUAAAAGGAGUUACUGAGGCUGUUUGUCCCCUUAAAAUUUCCUUGGAUCGAGUGGUUUUGACGUCAACUGGAGUUCUUCUUGGCCUGUGGCAGGUUGAAUCUGGUACUGAUCCUGCCGACAUCCGCUCAAAAUUGAGAGAAGCUCUACCUCGAGCACCCCAAAAGCAGUUGUAUGAUCCUGUUCUCCUCCACACAUCCUUUGCGCGAAUUCUGGGACCUCCUAAGCUCCCACAACAGGAGGACACAUCAUCUUUCAGUCACAUCAAAUUCUUCCAUGACCUCGUUGCACAGGUUAAUGGGAAAAUCCGUGGCUUCCAGGCAAAGGUAUCAGAGCUGUGGUAUGUAGAGGAGUACGAUGUGCUAGCCCUAGCACUGAAUGGAAAGAUGAGAGUGCGGAGGCUCCACCUUGGCUGCAAUGAGGGCCAAGAUAACUGAUGACAGUAAAGAGAACACCACCAGGGUAUCAGUGCGCAAUGCAUCGUCUCUAUGAGUUAGCAAUGCUUGGGAGUGCCUCUAUGAUUAACAUAUACUAGUGUGUGCCUGUAGCGUGGGUUUGUGAGCCGCGCUACUACUACUUCACAGUAGCAUUGGGUAGGGAUCUACCUAUAAGGUAUUUCCUCGUAGUGUUUUGCAGUGAGCUGCUUAUUUUUUACUCAGCAAACCUUUUGCCGAGUAGCUGACAAAUAACACUCAGCUUAUGUCGUUAUGCCUACCAGGAGUACGCCGAGUCCUUUUUGUCGAGUGUAACACCCGAUAACUUUUUGCCAAGGUUGAAUUUAGCCUUCACCGUGCAGUCUUCGUACUUGACUUGCGCGGUUUUUCCUAUAAUGAAAGAGAGGAAGUGUCGAUAGCAAUGGAUCGCUCGAUCAAAAUGAGACGACAAGGAUCCCAUCACGCUGGUGGAUGACCGAACAGCUGCCAUGUCAUUUAUGCGUGUGACCGAACAGCUGGCGUUGCGUCGCGUCCGUGUCCAGGGUUGUUUAUUUGCGUAGGACUGUCGGGGGAUAAUUCGAUCGAGUAGGAGUUGUUACGUGGAAGAGGAGCUAGCUGGGUGAUCCUUUGGCUAGGUGAUGAGGAAGAAAUUGACACGGCCGGCCGUUGUAUGGGAGCACGGCAGAGAUGGAGUUCGAUAAGGUCUGCACCCAAAUCAGAAGGUUUGGCCACCCUUAACAAUAUCCUCAUCGGAUAUAACUAGCAAAAGGGCCCGUGCAUUGCAACGAAAAAAAAAUGAUAAUCUUCAAUGGCCAUGAUCAUAUUUUGCUGCA
Molecule: RNA transcript, 2131 nt
Organism: Triticum aestivum (bread wheat)
Lineage: Eukaryota; Viridiplantae; Streptophyta; Magnoliopsida; Poales; Poaceae
Exons: 8
Source: RefSeq, a predicted model, not a curated record